ACUUUAAGUAUCCUAAAGGGUUGUUGGAGACUACGACGUAGAUAGGCAGGGUGUGUAAGCGCUGUGAGGCGUUGAGCUAACCUGUACUAAUUGCCCGUGAGGCUUAACCAUACAACACCCAAGGGGUUU
This 129-nucleotide ribosomal RNA is filed under the name Photobacterium damselae. RNAcentral describes it as "partial 23S ribosomal RNA". The stretch from base 1 to 111 matches the Rfam family "Bacterial large subunit ribosomal RNA", at positions 2819 to 2925 of the family's 2925-position model. Lineage: Bacteria; Pseudomonadati; Pseudomonadota; Gammaproteobacteria; Vibrionales; Vibrionaceae. The record is from RNAcentral.